GAUGAACGCUGGCGGCGUGCCUAAUACAUGCAAGUCGAGCGGACGGACGAUAAGCUCGCUUCCCUGAUGUUAGCGGCGGACGGGCGAGUAACACGUGGAUAACCUACCUAUAAGACUGGGAUAACUACGGGAAACCGGAGCUACUACCGGAUAAUAUUUUGAACCGCAUGGAUCAAAAGUGAAUGACGGUCUUGCUGUCACUUAUAGAUGGAUCCGCGCUGCAUUAGCUAGUUGGUAAGGUAACGGCUUACCAAGGCAACGAUGCAUAGCUGACCUGAGAGGGUGAUCGGCCACACUGGAACUGAGACACGGUCCAGACUCCUACGGGAGGCAGCAGUAGGGAAUCUUCCGCAAUGGGCGAAAGCCUGACGGAGCAACGCCGCGUGAGUGAUGAAGGUCUUCGGAUCGUAAAGCUCUUUUAUUAGGGAAGAACAGAUGUGUAAGUAACUGUGCACAUCUUGACGGUACCUAAUCAGAAAGCCACGGCUAACUACGUG
Molecule: ribosomal RNA, 497 nt
Filed under: uncultured bacterium
Lineage: Bacteria
Description: partial 16S ribosomal RNA
Rfam family: Bacterial small subunit ribosomal RNA
Source: RNAcentral